CCUUUUAGUUGCGAGGCCAUCAUUAUACACACAUUCACGAAAGAGAAAGCGAUAUCGGAACGCGCGUCACAUUUUUUAUCUCGUUGUAGCCGUAGCCAUGGGUGAUUGAGUAGCCUUAUCAAUAUAUAUAUUUUUUUCUAGCCCGCCGGCAACUCCUUUCGUCCACCGAACCGAAUAACCCUUUGAUAACUGAACCUAAAGGACUGAAUUUAAUGUAUUAAGCAGUUGCACGCAUGAUAAUUCACCCAUAUUUCGUACCUGUUGGUUCCAAAUGUUCUUUCUGUUCAAUUUGGUUUACCUGAGGACAUUUGCUUUUGCAGUAGUGAAGCGGUGCAUCACGUUCAUGCAGAAAAAGAAUGCAUCAUUUCUAAUAGCUUCAUGUCUUUCAUGCAUUUGCUUGUGAAACCAGCAGUAUGAUCUAUUCUAGUGUAUAAAAUGUGCACAAAUGUUCUCAUUUGUGAUCUUAAUACUUAAGCUGUUGACAUGCGUUGUAGUUAGGCAGACAUCAAUUUUAUGAAGAGUAGCAAUACUUAUUUACCAUGCCGCUUAAGCACCCUAGAACAAGCAGUGUACAUUUGCGUGUGUUCUGUAGUCACAAACAAUUACAAUCCACAUGUCACACGUUUUCACAUUUCAUAUUUCAAUAUUGUGCUUAUUCAAUUUCUGAUGCAGUCAAAAUUUCUGUUGCAGACAUGCAAUAAUGAGGAUGGCACCAGGAUAAAGAAACACACUCCAUGCACUAAACAGAAGCUGCUGCCCGCUACAAGGCCAUUGUGUGGACUUUGGCUGCUACUACAAGGCACCUUGCCUCCAGCCGGCGAAAAUGGACAGACAAGGUUCAACGCACAUGCUUUGGAGUUACUGCAAACAUUCACCGGACAUCAAUGCACACAUUCGCUGCUACCACGUUCUACCUAGGUGGUUUGUGUGAAAAUUGGUGCACGAGGACUGAUCGGCAUCCGAAUGGUGUACUGCUGCAUGCCCUUUUGCUGCUUCCGCUCUGGGAAAUGCCCAGGCGUGUCAUUUCAUCAGUUUCCAAGUGACGGAGACUUUAUUUAUUUUCAUACUCUCAGGACCAGAGGCCAUUACAGAGAGGAGUGUUCUAACAAUAAAUUCUUAAUCUCAACUUUAAAGGCGGCAGGGUCUUCGAUUCCAGCGAUGGAAGCGGGAAGGUGGUCCCAGUCACUGCUUGUU
This 1194-nucleotide long non-coding RNA is filed under the name Dermacentor andersoni. RNAcentral describes it as "uncharacterized LOC126528190". The record is from RNAcentral. Lineage: Eukaryota; Metazoa; Arthropoda; Arachnida; Ixodida; Ixodidae.